CCCAAAUAGCCUAACACUUGGAUGUGGACUAACGGUAAGGAAAAGCGAACAAGUUCAACAAGUGUUAUCUUAGGUAUAGGUAACGUAGAUCGGGUAACUUCAUGAGGAAGGGUAACCUAAAAUCCUAACUCUUCACAAGAACCACCAAAGCGCGAAUGAUGCACGCAUUCCAGGAUUUCAAAAACUUUGACAAUCACGACCAUUCUGUCCUUGCUAGUCACAACCAUAACGGGUCAAGGUCCUCGAUCUUGAUCUGAUGAAAUGUACACCCAAAAUCAUCCCCAACGACUUACUUAACUCACUUCUUGAAACUGACCUUUGAUCUGCAGCGGUUGGAAAAUAAACGGUCUGCAUGACUUGGUUAACUUCUUCAGAAAUAAUAGCUUCUUUAACAUUCACGUCAUACUCUAACAUCUCCUCGAACCUUUGAAACUCCAUGGUCUUUUAUCUACUCUAAAAUUCUUGGCUAAGUUCCGAAAGAUUUUCCAUAUGAUCUUUGGAUUAUUCCCCAAACCAUAAUCGAUGAAUCCAAUUCACUCGACACGUAUCUCAAUGCUGAAAUUGUUGUAUAUGAUUAACUCAACCUGAACCUCCUGGCGGAAACAUCUCACUGUACCAACUCCGUAAACUAAAUCUUCAAUCGGUCCCAUACCUUGUGUAUAAAAUAUUACUUCGUGAACUCUUGAAAUCUAUCCAAAUCGUUCUCACCUCUCUGAAGAAAAUAUUUUUCUCAGAGUGUUGCAUCCCAAAUCUGCCUCAAGCCAUAGUAUACCUCGAACGGUUUAGUCCUUCUUCUGUAUCUUGUGGUCCCACUACUUCUUUCUAUCAUAAGCUUUAACAUGUCUUGUUGCCAACAGAAGAUGCAUGUGUAUCCAUCGUCUUGUACUACAGUUGAACCAUCUCUUCCUCCAACGGUAAGCUCCAAACAAAUUUUGAACAAUUCAGGCCUGUACGACUCUGUUUCUUGUACGUCUCAGCAUAAGCUAGAGACUUGAGAAGCCGGAAGAAUAAGUGCAUCUAGGUGAUCAUGUGCAGUCGCAUCGCUCUGAAUCAAACCACAAACAACGCCCACCU
RNAcentral lists this long non-coding RNA (1074 nucleotides) under Brassica napus (rape). RNAcentral's name for it is "long non-coding RNA (BNAP_LNC026165)". Lineage: Eukaryota; Viridiplantae; Streptophyta; Magnoliopsida; Brassicales; Brassicaceae. The record is from RNAcentral.